AUAAUACCCUAUAGGUUACAGAUGCUGGAAUGCUCUGUAAUCAAAAGUUCCGGCGCCCUAGGAUGGAUCUGCGGCCGAUUAGGUUGUUGUUGGGGUAAUGGCCCAACAAGCCAGUAAUCGGUACGGGUUGUGGGAGCAAGAGCCCGGAGUUGGAUUCUGAGACACGAAUCCAGGCCCUACGGGGCGCAGCAGGCGCGAAAACUUUACAAUGCGGGCAACCGUGAUAAGGGAACCUCGAGUGCCUGUAAAUGCAGGCUGUUCAGAUGCCUAAAACACAUCUGGAGAAAGGGCCGGGCAAGACCGGUGCCAGCCGCCGCGGUAAUACCGGCGGCUCGAGUGGUGGCCACUUUUAUUGGGCUUAAAGCGUUCGUAGCUGGGUUGUUAAGUCUCUUGGGAAAUCUGGCGGCUUAACCGUCAGGCGUCUAAGGGAUACUGGCAAUCUUGGAACCGGGAGAGGUGAGGGGUACUUCGGGGGUAGGAGUGAAAUCCUGUAAUCCUCGAGGGACCACCUGUGGCGAAGGCGCCUCACCAGAACGGCUUCGACAGUGAGGGACGAAAGCUGGGGGAGCAAACCGGAUUAGAUACCCGGGUAGUCCCAGCCGUAAACUAUGCGCGUUAGGUGU
RNAcentral lists this ribosomal RNA (623 nucleotides) under uncultured archaeon. Its description in RNAcentral is "bacterial SSU rRNA". It matches the Rfam family "Archaeal small subunit ribosomal RNA", at positions 146 to 774 of the family's 1478-position model. The record is from RNAcentral.